Molecule: ribosomal RNA, 253 nt
Filed under: uncultured bacterium
Lineage: Bacteria
Description: partial 16S ribosomal RNA
Rfam family: Bacterial small subunit ribosomal RNA
Source: RNAcentral
UACGUAGGGUGCGAGCGUUAAUCGGAAUUACUGGGCGUAAAGCGUGCGCAGGCGGUUCGUUAAGACAGAUGUGAAAUCCCCGGGCUUAACCUGGGAACUGCAUUUGUGACUGGCGAGCUAGAGUAUGGCAGAGGGGGGUAGAAUUCCACGUGUAGCAGUGAAAUGCGUAGAGAUGUGGAGGAAUACCGAUGGCGAAGGCAGCCCCCUGGGCCAAUACUGACGCUUAUGCACGAAAGCGUGGGGAGCAAACAGG